UCGACGGUUCCUUCAUGCUUGCAGUUUGCUAUUCAGAGUACCAGCUAAAUUCGUUUGAUAUGUAGUGUCACUUUCAUGCAAUAGUGAAUCAACUGUUCAUAUAAUCAUUGUUUAAUCUUUGAAGUAUUAGUUUAUUUCCUUGGCAUGGUUUUGGUUCUCGACAUGUACAAUUGUAAGGAAUUAGCUUGAGCAACUUGCAUCUAUUCCAG
This 209-nucleotide long non-coding RNA is filed under the name Setaria italica (foxtail millet). Its description in RNAcentral is "long non-coding RNA (SITA_LNC002949)". Lineage: Eukaryota; Viridiplantae; Streptophyta; Magnoliopsida; Poales; Poaceae. The record is from RNAcentral.